Molecule: ribosomal RNA, 184 nt
Filed under: Levilactobacillus brevis
Lineage: Bacteria; Bacillati; Bacillota; Bacilli; Lactobacillales; Lactobacillaceae
Description: partial 16S ribosomal RNA
Rfam family: Bacterial small subunit ribosomal RNA
Source: RNAcentral
UAAGAUGAGAGUUUGAUCCUGGCUCAGGACGAACGCUGGCGGCAUGCCUAAUACAUGCAAGUCGAACGAGCUUCCGUUGAAUGACGUGCUUGCACUGAUUUCAACAAUGAAGCGAGUGGCGAACUGGUGAGUAACACGUGGGAAAUCUGCCCAGAAGCAGGGGAUAACACUUGGAAACAGGUGC